This 269-nucleotide long non-coding RNA is filed under the name Brassica napus (rape). Its description in RNAcentral is "long non-coding RNA (BNAP_LNC010858)". The record is from RNAcentral. Lineage: Eukaryota; Viridiplantae; Streptophyta; Magnoliopsida; Brassicales; Brassicaceae.
AAAAUAGCACCUUUAUAAGUUUAUAUCACAAAAAUAGCACUCAAAAACUAAAAUGACCAAAAUAACAUUUUAUCUUUUGAAAAUUUUAAAUUUUUCAUUUUUCAAAAUUUGAAAUCUUAUCCCCAAAACCUCAUUUCUAAACUCUAAACCCUAAACUCUAAACCCUAAACGCUAAACCCUAAACGCUAAACCCUAAACCCUAAAUCCUAAAUCUUAAACCCCACCCUUUUACUCUAAACCCUAAGUUUGUGACUUUUGAUAAAACAUUA